GCAUAGUGUUACCAGCAGCAACACAUGCCAAUUUCAUUUUCUCAUUCAAUAGUCACUUACAUGGAUGCUUGAUUCUGGAAAUAAUAGGCGAACUUCAAGCAGUCCUUGUCCCGUCCUGCAUCCCAAUUUUGAAUCUAGUUGGGAAGAUUCUAAAGGUAAUGCAUCUAAUAUGUGACUAUAAAUGAGUG
This 188-nucleotide ribozyme is filed under the name Vicugna pacos (alpaca). RNAcentral describes it as "Beta-globin co-transcriptional cleavage ribozyme (ENSVPAG00000015596.1)". It matches the Rfam family "Beta-globin co-transcriptional cleavage ribozyme". From Rfam's summary of the family: Transcription termination of RNA polymerase II transcripts is proposed to occur by a two stage process. The first stage involves pre-termination cleavage (PTC) of the nascent transcript downstream of the poly(A) site. The record is from RNAcentral. Lineage: Eukaryota; Metazoa; Chordata; Mammalia; Artiodactyla; Camelidae.